This 253-nucleotide ribosomal RNA is filed under the name uncultured bacterium. RNAcentral's name for it is "partial 16S ribosomal RNA". It matches the Rfam family "Bacterial small subunit ribosomal RNA", at positions 524 to 776 of the family's 1533-position model. The record is from RNAcentral.
UACGUAGGGUGCAAGCGUUGUCCGGAAUUAUUGGGCGUAAAGAGCUCGUAGGCGGUCUGUUGCGUCAGCUGUGAAAACCCGGGGCUAAACCCCGGGCCUGCAGCCGAUACGGGCAGACUAGAGUUCGGCAGGGGAGACUGGAAUUCCUGGUGUAGCGGUGAAAUGCGCAGAUAUCAGGAGGAACACCGGUGGCGAAGGCGGGUCUCUGGGCCGAUACUGACGCUGAGGAGCGAAAGCGUGGGGAGCGAACAGG